This 253-nucleotide ribosomal RNA is filed under the name uncultured bacterium. RNAcentral describes it as "partial 16S ribosomal RNA". It matches the Rfam family "Bacterial small subunit ribosomal RNA", at positions 524 to 776 of the family's 1533-position model. The record is from RNAcentral.
UACAGAGGUCCCAAGCGUUGUUCGGAUUCACUGGGCGUAAAGGGUGCGCAGGCGGCCGUGUGUGUGAGGCGUGAAAGCCUGGAGCUUAACUCCAGAAUUGCACCUCAAACUACACGGCUAGAGCAUUGGAGAGGGUAGCAGAAUUCACGGUGUAGCAGUGAAAUGCGUAGAUAUCGUGAGGAAUACCAGAGGCGAAGGCGGCUACCUGGACAAUUGCUGACGCUCAGGCACGAAAGCGUGGGGAGCAAAAGGG